CGAGCGUUGUCCGGAUUUAUUGGGCGUAAAGCGUGCGUAGGCGGUUCGUUAAGUCAGCUGUGAAAGCCCCGGGCUCAACCUGGGAACUGCGGUUGAAACUGGCGAACUAGAAUCUGGCAGAGGGGGGUGGAAUUCCACGUGUAGCAGUGAAAUGCGUAGAGAUGUGGAGGAACACCGAUGGCGAAGGCAGCCCCCUGGGCUGAGAUUGACGCUCAGGCACGAAAGCGUGGGGAGCAAACAGG
This 242-nucleotide ribosomal RNA is filed under the name uncultured bacterium. RNAcentral describes it as "partial 16S ribosomal RNA". It matches the Rfam family "Bacterial small subunit ribosomal RNA", at positions 535 to 776 of the family's 1533-position model. The record is from RNAcentral.